UACAGCCAUAUCACAUUGAGACACCAAUUCCCAUACAACCACCAAAGUUAAGCAAUGUCAAGCCUGCUCAGUACCUAGAUGGGUGACCACUUGGGAAUACCAGGUUCUGUAGG
Molecule: non-coding RNA, 113 nt
Organism: Acanthosepion pharaonis
Lineage: Eukaryota; Metazoa; Mollusca; Cephalopoda; Sepiida; Sepiidae
Source: the annotation of a GenBank genome assembly